UAUAUUCUGUAAAAAAAAAAAAAAAACUUUUUGAGAUCCUUGGGUAUGUGUUUGCUUUACUUCAUUUUAGAAGAAAAUUACUCUUCUAAUAAAAUUAUUUUAUAGCUUCUCCAUUUUUAAAAGUUGUGAGAAAUAUUAAGGAGCAGAACUGUGUGCCGCAGGAGAGUCGAGGUUGGUUCUCUGUUCUGUUACAGCGUCCUUUGAUUACUGCACAGUAGUUCCUGGAGCCAGUAAGCGCGGUGUGUGGGGGAAUCUGAACCCGGACCCUUGACGUAAUGUGAGGUGGUUGUUGCCCUCAUCCAGACCUCUUGAGUAAGGAGAGAAAAGUUGAAAUUGGACUCUAAUGAUAUCUCUUUCUCACAACUGAACAUAAUAAAAGGUUAAUUUUCUAAGUAGUCCUGUCUUUCCAAAAAUGCUUCACAGGGGCUCACAGGUUAUAGGAGAAUCUUGUUAUGAGUUUGUUAUUGCCCGUAUUUGAAUAUACUUGAGACAAUUCCAGAGCCCUACUACAUAAAAUUCCUACAGAGAAAGAUGGAUAUGACCGAGGAAUCUUUACAACACGUGUUGUUCUUGUCUACUGGCCCCAGGACUGUGGAGGGGUUUCGUUGUCUAUAUCGUGACCCACUUGUUUCCCUCUAAGUGACCUUGGUGUAUGUCAUGAUAGUGUUCUGUCCCAUGUAUAUAUGCAGUUCCUAAUGCCAGCACUCAGAACUUCGGACACGUUCAGUCAUUGACAUCACCACUUCUCCCCGCCCAGCUUCGGAAUUAAACUUUUUCACCAAGGAGAUCGUCCUCUCAGAGGUGAUAGCAGGACCUGGGGACUGGCUUUAAGGGGACAGGCCCACUGCAGCUGUAGGUGUUUGUUCUCAGCAUCUCGUAGAGAAUCCCAUUGGUGUUUUUCCCACAAUGGUGUCUUCUAAAAAAAAAAAAAAAAAAGGAUGUGUCCAACUUUGAAUCUCCUGGCUUGAAAUCCCAUAAUUCUUACUUUAGCUCUUCACCUGAAAACCAGUUACUAUUUCUGAUCAUUUUAAUGUAAACAAAACUGAACAGUGAAAUAUUUUGUUACUUGUGGAAUAGAUUCCGGCUCUCAUUUUAUGUGAGCUGUGGGUCAGGGGAAUUAUGGGACAAAGAACUGCCUAGGUGGAUUAAAUUUUCCCAGGACACAACUAGUGUGCCUUGGAUUGAUUAUUACCUCUUCUACUGCAUUGAAAGGUGCCAUGUUUUCCUGAAAUUCCCAACACCUGGGUAAACAGUGACCUCCCGGAGAGUGACUCAUUUACCAUGUCUCUCCCUAGGGUGAGCACCAGAAACAAUUUUGUCAUUCUUGUCUCUUAUUUCCACUUCACGAGUCAGUGAGUGUGUUCAAGGUAAGUACAGGAUUAUUCUAGUAGGAAUAGGCAAUUGCUGUCAUGAUCAAUUCCCACGUUUACUUCAUUUCAUUGUAAAGAUCACUUAAAAUCCAAUUUUGCUUAAGCACAUUGUUGUAAUUUUGGGGGUAUUAUUUGACAUAAGAAAACAGCAGAAUUGAGUGAUAGAUAUAAUAUGAAAUUUGUUGAUGAAUGACUUCAAAUUUAUUAAAAAAGGACUAACUGACUUC
Molecule: long non-coding RNA, 1597 nt
Filed under: Bos taurus (domestic cattle)
Lineage: Eukaryota; Metazoa; Chordata; Mammalia; Artiodactyla; Bovidae
Description: long non-coding RNA NONBTAT012744
Source: RNAcentral